AAAUUUAAAAAAAAUUGUUUCAUUCUGAAGUAGAAUAGCCUCAUUUUAGUUACUAGUCGAAAACUAUCAUUGUCAUCUUGUUCAUAGGUCUCAAUUAAGCAACUACUCACCAAGGAUUAUGUAUUAUCAGGCUAAAGCAAAAUCUGGAAGCAGCUCCAAUUCUUAGCAAUUUUUUCUCAUGGAUUGACUGAAUUUUGAAACACAUGAACACUAGGAGUGCCACAAGCAUAGAUGGCGGGAAGUGAUUUGACGGAAAAGAUGACUAUGUUUUAAACAGUCCAAUGAUAGAAUGUCAUGUGGCAUUAUAUCAACCAUUAUGUAAAGUAUUUUGACACUAUAGCAUGGUGAUGGUUCUUUAUGACGUUAUUGAUUUCACUCGUCUUCACAAAAUUUUACCUAAUUGAUUCAGCCUCUGAUGUGCUAAAGUUCCAAGUUUUGUGAUUUCCUGUUUGUAUUCUUUUCUAUUGAGCAAUGAAACUUUUUUAACUGUUUCACUCAA
Molecule: long non-coding RNA, 499 nt
Organism: Olea europaea var. sylvestris
Lineage: Eukaryota; Viridiplantae; Streptophyta; Magnoliopsida; Lamiales; Oleaceae
Exons: 2
Source: RefSeq, a predicted model, not a curated record